UUGCUUGAUUGGACACCAAAUCUACUAAAAUUGGAACAAUACUGAAAAGAUUAGCAUGGUCC
Molecule: small nuclear RNA, 62 nt
Filed under: Mesocricetus auratus (golden hamster)
Lineage: Eukaryota; Metazoa; Chordata; Mammalia; Rodentia; Cricetidae
Source: RNAcentral